CCCGUCACGCCAUGGAAGUUGGUUCUACCUGAAUUGAGUGAGCUAACCGCAAGGAGGCAGCUCAACACGGUAGGGUCAAUGACUGGGGUG
This 90-nucleotide ribosomal RNA is filed under the name uncultured bacterium. Its description in RNAcentral is "partial 16S ribosomal RNA". It matches the Rfam family "Bacterial small subunit ribosomal RNA", at positions 1393 to 1482 of the family's 1533-position model. The record is from RNAcentral.